RNAcentral lists this transfer RNA (75 nucleotides) under Candidatus Nomurabacteria bacterium. RNAcentral describes it as "tRNA-Asn". It matches the Rfam family "tRNA". From Rfam's summary of the family: Transfer RNA (tRNA) molecules are approximately 80 nucleotides in length. Their secondary structure includes four short double-helical elements and three loops (D, anti-codon, and T loops). The record is from RNAcentral. Lineage: Bacteria; Candidatus Nomuraibacteriota.
UCUGGAGUAGCGCAGCGGUAGCGCAGGACGCUGUUAACGUCUUGGUCGCCGGUUCGAAUCCGGCCUCCAGAGCCA